Pseudoliparis swirei is the source of this 296-nucleotide long non-coding RNA. RefSeq lists it as uncharacterized. The transcript has 2 exons. Lineage: Eukaryota; Metazoa; Chordata; Actinopteri; Perciformes; Liparidae. The record is from RefSeq and is a predicted model, not a curated record.
CUCACGUGCACUAUAGGGACAUACGAACGCUCACGUGCACUAUAGGGACGCUCACGUGCACUAUAGGGACGCUCACGUGCACUAUAGGGACAUAAAAAUGCUCACGUGCACUAUAGGAACGCUCACGUGCACUAUAGGGACACUCACGUGCACUAUAGGGAUGCUCACGUGCACUAUAGGGACACUCACGUGCACUAUAGGGACGCUCACGUGCACUAUAGGGACAUACGAACGCUCACGUGCACUAUAGGGAUGCUCACGUGCACUAUAGGGACACUCACGUGCACUAUAGGGAC